GAUGAAGAACGCAGCGAAAUGCGAUAAGUAGUGUGAAUUGCAGAAUUCAGUGAAUCAUCGAAUCAUUGAACGCACAUUGCGCCCCUUGGUAUUCCAUGGGGCAUGCCUGUUCGAGCGUCAUUUGUACCUUCAAGCUCUACUUGGUGUUGGGUGUUUGUCUCGCCUCUGCGUGUAGACUCGCCUCAAAACAAUUGGCAGCCGGCGUAUUGAUUUCGGAGCGCAGUACAUCUCGCGCUUUGCACUCAUAACGACGACGUCCAAAAGUACAUUUUUACACUCUUGACCUCGGAUCAGGUAGGGAUACCCGCUGAACGUAAGCAUAUCAAUAAGCGGAGGA
Molecule: unclassified non-coding RNA, 337 nt
Filed under: soil metagenome
Description: partial contains 5.8S ribosomal RNA, internal transcribed spacer 2, and large subunit ribosomal RNA
Rfam family: 5.8S ribosomal RNA (bases 1-120)
Source: RNAcentral